RNAcentral lists this ribosomal RNA (118 nucleotides) under Lupinus angustifolius (narrow-leaved blue lupine). Lineage: Eukaryota; Viridiplantae; Streptophyta; Magnoliopsida; Fabales; Fabaceae. The record is from RNAcentral.
AGGUGCGAUCAUAGCAGCACUAAUGCACCGAAUUCCAUCAGAUCUCUGCAGUCAAACGUGCUUGGGCGAGAGUAGUACUAGGAUAGGUGACCUCCUGGAAGUCCUCGUGUUGCACCUC